AGAACGAACGUUAGCGGCGCGCCUAACACAUGCAAGUCGCACGGUCCGGGGGCAACCUCGGGCAGUGGCGGACGGGUGAGGAACGCGUAGGGAUCUAUCCAUGGGUGGGGGACAACCGCGGGAAACUGCGGCUAAUACCGCAUGACGAGCGUGCCCGAGAGGGCAUGUUCCAAAGUUCGCAAGAGCGCCUGUGGCGGAGCCUGCGUCCGAUUAGCUUGUUGGUGGGGUAACGGCCCACCAAGGCUUCGAUCGGUAGCUGGUCUGAGAGGAUGAUCAGCCACACUGGGACUGAGACACGGCCCAGACUCCUACGGGAGGCAGCAGUGGGGGAAUAUUGGACAAUGGGCGCAAGCCUGAUCCAGCAAUGCCGCGUGGGUGAAGAAGGUCUUCGGAUUGUAAAGCCCGUUUCGGGCGGGGACGAGUGAUGACGGUACCCGCAGAAGAAGCCCGGCUAACUUCGCGCCAGCAGCCGCGGUAA
RNAcentral lists this ribosomal RNA (478 nucleotides) under uncultured bacterium. RNAcentral describes it as "SSU rRNA". It matches the Rfam family "Bacterial small subunit ribosomal RNA", at positions 26 to 523 of the family's 1533-position model. The record is from RNAcentral.